AUUGAACGCUGGCGGCAUGCCUUACACAUGCAAGUCGAACGGCAGCACGGGAGCAAUCCUGGUGGCGAGUGGCGAACGGGUGAGUAAAGUAUCGGAACGUGCCCAGUCGUGGGGGAUAACGUAGCGAAAGUUACGCUAAUACCGCAUACGAUCUAUGGAUGAAAGCGGGGGAUCGCAAGACCUCGCGCGAUUGGAGCGGCCGAUAUCAGAUUAGGUAGUUGGUGGGGUAAAGGCUCACCAAGCCGACGAUCUGGAGCUGGUCUGAGAGGACGGCAAGCCACACGGGGACUGAGACGCGGCCCAGACUACUACGGGAGGCAGCAGUGGGGAAUUUUGGACAGUGGGCGCAAGCCUGAUCCAGCCAUGCCGCGUGCAGGAUGAAGGCCUUCGGGUUGUAAACUGCUUUUGUACGGAACGAAAAGGUUUGACUUAAUACGUUGGACUCAUGACGGUACCGUAAGAAUAAGCACCGGCUAACUACGUGCCAGCAGCCGCGGUAA
RNAcentral lists this ribosomal RNA (500 nucleotides) under uncultured bacterium. Its description in RNAcentral is "partial 16S ribosomal RNA". It matches the Rfam family "Bacterial small subunit ribosomal RNA", at positions 30 to 523 of the family's 1533-position model. The record is from RNAcentral.